Molecule: long non-coding RNA, 337 nt
Organism: Callorhinchus milii (elephant shark)
Lineage: Eukaryota; Metazoa; Chordata; Chondrichthyes; Chimaeriformes; Callorhinchidae
Exons: 2
Source: RefSeq, a predicted model, not a curated record
UGGAGGGUAUCCUGGCUGCAGGAAAUGCAUCACUACAGUAGAGAGCAAUGAGCUUGACAUUGCCUGUGCAAUGGUGCUGCAACAUCACAAUGGCAACAGGGUCAGGCCAGGAUGGAGCUGCAUCGUUCCUUCCGAAAGGGGUGGAAAGCAUUCCGUGCUUCCGGCUCCAAUCGUAUGCCAGCCACGGUGAAGAUGGAAACCACUAUGGAGCAAGAAAAGGGGAAAAAGUCUUGCGUUACAGUGCCUCUAGAGGCAGUCAUAAACAACUUAUGCUUUUAUAACGUUUUACCAUGUUGAACCUGGAUCAGAGUCAAACUAAAGUACUAUCUAAAUGCAA